UAUAUAUAACUAGGCUGGAAUAUUAUUAAUAGCACCAAGUUAUUGGUGCUAUUAGUUUUUUAGCUCUUGGAUUGAGAAAUAUACGAUUAGGAUGAUGUGGGCCCCAUAGGGUUGAGUGGGUGGUUGGUUGUAUAGUAUAAUUUAACGGCUAAAAAUAAUUAAUGGGUUAAAUUUAACGGUGGAAAACUUGAUAGCACCAAAUUCUUGGUGCUAUCGAUAAUAUCCCAGCCGGACUAUAUAUAUAUAUAUAUAUAUAUAUAUAUAUAGAGUUGAGCUAUGAUACUUUUACAAGUAUCAUCAUCAUGGUGCUAUUAGGUUUUAAGCCAUUAAUUGGAUCUACUUUUUGAUUAUUAAUAGCCCUUGGAUUAAACACUAUUCCACCUAUCACCACCUACCACCACCUACCACCAUCAUCUCAAUCUCACAUCUCUCCAUCCAAGGGUUAAAAACACACAAAUAUCACCCCCAUGAUACUUUUACAAGUAUUCUAGCCCUACUCUAUAUAUAUAUAUAUAUAGUAGGGCUGCUAUACUCUUAUGAGUACGUAUUAGGUCUUUCGUACUCAUAAGUUGUUUUCGAUGAUGGAGCUUUCGAAUCGAUGAUCCACUCUGUUAAAUAUGAUCUAGAGUAUUUGAAACUUCUAGAAAAUAAAUUUUGUAAUUUUUCGAAAUCAUAAUAAUGUUCAUCAAGCGAGCAUAAAAUGACAGGUCAAAUCGAACGACGCCUUAAAAAAGGAUGAUCGGAUUCUUCAAUUUAAGAUCGGAGUUAUUGAUCUUUAUAUAGGUAGUGAAUAGAAUUUUCUAUCAAAAAUUCAACCUAUUUGGAUUCUUUUGCACCGUUAAACUAGCAAGUAUUCCAUACAGCCGUUAAAAAUUGUCAAUUUUGUGAGCUUUUGAUCGUAAGGUAAAUGAUGUCUAAAAAUUAUGAAAUUUGAUUUCUAGAAGUUUUAAAUGCUCUAGAAAAUGUUUAACGGUAUGGAUUAUCGAUUCGGAA
Molecule: long non-coding RNA, 993 nt
Filed under: Ananas comosus (pineapple)
Lineage: Eukaryota; Viridiplantae; Streptophyta; Magnoliopsida; Poales; Bromeliaceae
Description: long non-coding RNA (ACOM_LNC041356)
Source: RNAcentral